Molecule: long non-coding RNA, 221 nt
Filed under: Lathyrus oleraceus (garden pea)
Lineage: Eukaryota; Viridiplantae; Streptophyta; Magnoliopsida; Fabales; Fabaceae
Description: Pisum sativum (pea) long non-coding RNA (PSAT_LNC027576)
Source: RNAcentral
CCAUGUCCAAAACUUGUCAAAACUUCCUAAAGAACUGAAGCCUAGCAUUGUUUUUUUACCACCAUUUCAUCAUUUUGAAACCCUGCCACAAGCCACAAGACAGCAGACUAAACACUUGUCCUCUUAUUUCUCUCAAGCCUCAAUCCUUGCAUUUACAAAAUCAGUCCAAACUUCCAAUGAACCUAAACCUGGCCAUUGCUUUUCCACCCUUCAAGCACCAU